AGAACCCGUUGGCACUACAGGGUCCAGUUUCAUAAAGCCCCGAAAUUUCGGGGUUUUUUGUUAUUUGACAAUCGAAUUAACUGGGCUUUUAUAGCCCUUUUUUU
Molecule: regulatory RNA element, 104 nt
Organism: Providencia sneebia DSM 19967
Lineage: Bacteria; Pseudomonadati; Pseudomonadota; Gammaproteobacteria; Enterobacterales; Morganellaceae
Rfam family: Gammaprotebacteria rimP leader
Source: Rfam